Molecule: non-coding RNA, 57 nt
Filed under: Bicosoecida sp. CB-2014
Lineage: Eukaryota; Bigyra; Bicosoecida
Source: RNAcentral
CCUGGGGAAAGUCCCCGGACACUAGGGCAGAGAGUGCCAGCCGUAGACGGCAGAACC